UAAAGAUUCAUCGCUGAUAGAUAGGCAUGCGUUCCAUUAGGCAGUUGGCGGGGUAACGGCCCACCAAACCGACGAUGGAUAGGGGUUCUGAGAGGAAGGUCCCCCACAUUGGUACUGAGACACGGACCAAACUCCUACGGGAGGCAGCAGUGAGGAAUAUUGGUCAAUGGGCGUAAGCCUGAACCAGCCAAGUCGCGUGAGGGAUGAAGGUUCUAUGGAUCGUAAACCUCUUUUAUAAGGGAAUAAAGUGCGGGACGUGUCCCGUUUUGUAUGUACCUUAUGAAUAAGGAUCGGCUAACUCCGUGCCAGCAGCCGCGGUAAUACGGAGGAUCCGAGCGUUAUCCGGAUUUAUUGGGUUUAAAGGGUGCGUAGGCGGCCUUUUAAGUCAGCGGUGAAAGUCUGUGGCUCAACCAUAGAAUUGCCGUUGAAACUGGGAGGCUUGAGUAUGUUUGAGGCAGGCGGAAUGCGUGGUGUAGCGGUGAAAUGCUUAGAUAUCACGCAGAACCCCGAUUGCGAAGGCAGCCUGCCAAGCCAUGACUGACGCUGAUGCACGAAAGCGUGGGGAUCAAACAGGAUUAGAUACCCUGGUAGUCCACGCAGUA
RNAcentral lists this ribosomal RNA (602 nucleotides) under uncultured bacterium. Its description in RNAcentral is "bacterial SSU rRNA". It matches the Rfam family "Bacterial small subunit ribosomal RNA", at positions 202 to 804 of the family's 1533-position model. The record is from RNAcentral.